UCCUACGGGGGGCAGCAGUAGGGAAUAUUGCUCAAUGGGGGAAACCCUGAAGCAGCAACGCCGCGUGGAGGAUGAAGGUUUUCGGAUUGUAAACUCCUUUUGUUAGAGAAGAUAAUGACGGUAUCUAACGAAUAAGCCACGGCUAACUACGUGCCAGCAGCCGCGGUAAUACGUAGGUGGCAAGCGUUGUCCGGAUUUACUGGGUGUAAAGGGCGUGCAGCCGGGCUGACAAGUCAGAUGUGAAAUCCCGCGGCUCAACCGCGGAACUGCAUUUGAAACUGUUAGUCUUGAGUACCGGAGAGGUC
Molecule: ribosomal RNA, 305 nt
Filed under: uncultured bacterium
Lineage: Bacteria
Description: bacterial SSU rRNA
Rfam family: Bacterial small subunit ribosomal RNA
Source: RNAcentral